RNAcentral lists this ribosomal RNA (447 nucleotides) under uncultured bacterium. Its description in RNAcentral is "bacterial SSU rRNA". It matches the Rfam family "Bacterial small subunit ribosomal RNA", at positions 482 to 933 of the family's 1533-position model. The record is from RNAcentral.
AAGAAUAAGCACCGGCUAACUACGUGCCAGCAGCCGCGGUAAUACGUAGGGUGCAAGCGUUAAUCGGAAUUACUGGGCGUAAAGCGUGCGCAGGCGGCUUUGCAAGACAGAUGUGAAAUCCCCGGGCUCAACCUGGGAACUGCAUUUGUGACUGCAAGGCUAGAGUACGGGGUAGAGGGGGAUGGAAUUCCGCGUGUAGCAGUGAAAUGCGUAGAUAUGCGGAGGAACACCAAUGGCGAAGGCAAUCCCCUGGACCUGUACUGACGCUCAUGCACGAAAGCGUGGGGAGCAAACAGGAUUAGAUACCCUGGUAGUCCACGCCCUAAACGAUGUCAACUGGUUGUUGGACGGCUUGCUGUUCAGUAACGAAGCUAACGCGUGAAGUUGACCGCCUGGGGAGUACGGCGCAGGUUGAACUCAAGGAAUUGACGGGACCGCACAAGCGGU